AGUUACGUUAAGUAGCAAGGUUAAGCACUUAAGGUGCGGAGCCGUAGCGAAAGCGAGUUUUAACUGAGCGUUCAGUUACUUGACGUAGACCCGAAACCGGGCGACCUACCCAUGAGCAGGAUGAAGCGAAAGUAAAAUUUCGUGGAGGUCCGAACCCACGAGCGUUGAAAAGCUCGGGGAUGACUUGUGGGUAGCGGUGAAAUUCCAAUCGAGCCCGGAGAUAGCUGGUUCUCCCCGAAAUAGCUUUAGGGCUAGCCUCAAGGUGAGAGAUACGGAGGUAGAGCACUGAAUGUCCUAGGGGGUAUUGCACCUACCGAAGACUAUCAAACUCCGAAUGCCGUCAUCUUAUACUUGGGAGUCAGACUGUGGGUGAUAAGAUUCAUAGUCGAAAGGGCAACAGCCCAGAUCGUCAGCUAAGGUCCCUAAAUGUAAGUUAAGUGGUAAAGGAUGUGGGAUUGCACAGACAACCAGGAUGUUGGCUUAGAAGCAGCCACUCAUUCAAAGAGUGCGUAAUAGCUCACUGGUCGAGUGAUCCUGCGCCGAAGAUUUCCGGGGCUAAAACUUACUACCGAAGCUACGGCAUCAGUAAUGAUGGGUAGGGGAGCUUCCCAUACGGGUUGAAGCAUGACCGUAAGGACAUGUGGACAGUAUGGGAGUGAGAAUGUUGGCAUGAGUAGCGAGAUGUGGGUGAGAAUCCCACAGGCCGUAAACCCAAGGUUUCCAGGGGAAGGUUCGUCCGCCCUGGGUUAGUCGGGACCUAAGCUGAGGCCGAAAGGCGUAGGUGAUGGACAACAGGUUGAUAUUCCUGUACUACCGAUAACCGUUUGAGAGAAGGGAUGACACAGUAGGAUAAGCUAAGCACACUGUUGGUUAUGUGUGCCCAAGCAUUGAGGCAGUCAAAGUAGGCAAAUCCGCUUUGAUAAUGCUGGGAUGUGAUGGGGAGCGAAAUUUAGUAGCGAAGUAGCUGAUUUCACACUGUCAAGAAAAGUCUCUAUCGAGGUUAAAGGUACCCGUACCGCAAACCGACACAGGUGGGUGAGGAGAGUAUCCUAAGGCCAGCGAGAGAACUGUUGUUAAGGAACUCGGCAAAAUGACCCCGUAACUUAGGGAUAAGGGGUGCCACCAUCAGGUGGCCGCAGAGAAUAGGCCCAAGCGACUGUUUACCAAAAACAUAGGUUUCUGCUAAGUCGCAAGACGAUGUAUAGGAGCUGACGCCUGCCCGGUGCUGGAAGGUUAAGGGGAUCUGUUAGAGCAAUCGAAGCAGUGAACUUAAGCCCCAGUAAACGGCGGCCGUAACUAUAACGGUCCUAAGGUAGCGAAAUUCCUUGUCGGGUAAGUUCCGACCCGCACGAAAGGCGUAACGAUUUGGGCACUGUCUCAACAACAGACUCGGUGAAAUUGUAAUUCCGGUGAAGAUGCCGGAUACCUGCGACAGGACGGAAAGACCCCAUGGAGCUUUACUGUAGCUUGACAUUGGGUCUUGGUACUACAUGUACAGGAUAGGUGGGAGGCUUUGAAACCAGGACGCCAGUUUUGGCGGAGCCAUCCUUGGGAUACCACCCUUGUAGUACUGGGACUCUAACCAUAGGCCAUGAAUCUGGUCUUGGGACACUGUCAGGUGGGCAGUUUGACUGGGGCGGUCGCCUCCCAAAAGGUAACGGAGGCGCUCAAAGGUUCUCUCAGUACGGUCGGAAAUCGUACGUAGAGUGUAAAGGCAAAAGAGAGCUUGAUUGCAAGACAUACAGGUCGAGCAAGGAUGAAAAUCGGACUUAGUGAUCCGGUGGUUCUGCGUGGAAGGGCCAUCGCUCAACGGAUAAAAGCUACCCUGGGGAUAACAGGCUUAUCUCCCCCAAGAGUCCACAUCGACGGGGAGGUUUGGCACCUCGAUGUCGGCUCAUCACAUCCUGGGGCUGUAGUAGGUCCCAAGGGUUGGGCUGUUCGCCCAUUAAAGUGGUACGCGAGCUGGGUUCAGAACGUCGUGAGACAGUUCGGUCCCUAUCCGUCGCAGGCGUAGGAAAUUUGAGAAGACCUGUCCUUAGUACGAGAGGACCGGGAUGGACG
This 2061-nucleotide ribosomal RNA is filed under the name Clostridioides difficile. RNAcentral's name for it is "partial 23S ribosomal RNA". It matches the Rfam family "Bacterial large subunit ribosomal RNA", at positions 626 to 2703 of the family's 2925-position model. The record is from RNAcentral. Lineage: Bacteria; Bacillati; Bacillota; Clostridia; Peptostreptococcales; Peptostreptococcaceae.